CAAAGUGCUGACAGUGCAGGUAGUGAUGGGACCUUCUACUGCAGUGUAAGCACUUCCUGU
This 60-nucleotide microRNA precursor is filed under the name Callorhinchus milii (elephant shark). RNAcentral describes it as "Cmi-Mir-17-P1b_pre stem-loop". It matches the Rfam family "mir-17 microRNA precursor family", at positions 12 to 69 of the family's 80-position model. From Rfam's summary of the family: This family represents the microRNA (miRNA) precursor mir-17, family, which includes mir-20, mir-91, and mir-103. miRNAs are transcribed as ~70nt precursors (modelled here) and subsequently processed by the Dicer enzyme to give a ~22nt product. In this case the mature sequence comes from the 3' arm of the precursor. Lineage: Eukaryota; Metazoa; Chordata; Chondrichthyes; Chimaeriformes; Callorhinchidae. The record is from RNAcentral.